UGUAUUAGCUUUAUGCAUGUGAAACCGGACGUGAACGGUAUGCUAAGUGUUAGCUUAACCUCGAGAGGUAAUGCCAGUACAAAACCGGUGUUGCUGUCUCCGACAAAGUAGAGAAGUUUAUGGCUCGUUAAAUCAAUGGUCGGCAAAAGGACACUCGUUUGCACGUAUUUGGAGUAUAUCUGGACGUUUCCAGUCCGAAGAUAGUCCUGCACUUAAGUUUUAUCCAGUUAAGUUGAACUCUGUAGCGCCAGUGAUUAGCAUUCGCUAGCUAAGCGAGUGUGCUCGUGUGGAUCAGCGUAGCUAACGCAGCUGGCUACAAAGAUUGUUUUCUCGUCGUUUCGGCUUGGAAGAUGAAGAUUUGUCACAGUAGAGUGCUGAUAGACUAGCAGAAGUUAACCACUGGAUUAUAAUUUUUGUGUUUUUUUGCGUUGUGUGUCUGGAGGCUGAACUUGGACCAGCGGAUGUAACUGCACCGCCAUUUCAGGACAGUUUCGCCUUCUUCUUCACGUGAACUUGGAUUGAGACGCACACACGGAGCUCCUAACCAGCACUCGAGGAGGCGGAGGAGGAGGCGGCGAAGGAGAAGGCGGAGAAGGAGGCGGAGGGUCGCUUUACGGCUGUGUGUGUGCGUGUCUCACCUGUCUCCGCUCUGCGUGAUGAGUCUCCUGCACGUCUCCAUCUGGACGUCCAGCCCUCUCUUCAUCGAACACAUCUCCAUGUACUCGUGCAGGUGUCGGUUCAUGUCGCUCU
Long non-coding RNA from Scatophagus argus, 750 nucleotides. RefSeq lists it as uncharacterized. The transcript has 3 exons. NCBI's taxonomy places the organism in Eukaryota, Metazoa, Chordata, Actinopteri, Scatophagidae. The record is from RefSeq and is a predicted model, not a curated record.